This 253-nucleotide ribosomal RNA is filed under the name uncultured bacterium. RNAcentral's name for it is "partial 16S ribosomal RNA". It matches the Rfam family "Bacterial small subunit ribosomal RNA", at positions 524 to 776 of the family's 1533-position model. The record is from RNAcentral.
UACGAAGGGGGCUAGCGUUGCUCGGAAUCACUGGGCGUAAAGGGUGCGUAGGCGGGUCUUUAAGUCAGAGGUGAAAGCCUGGAGCUCAACUCCAGAACUGCCUUUGAUACUGAGGAUCUCGAGUUCGGGAGAGGUGAGUGGAACUGCGAGUGUAGAGGUGAAAUUCGUAGAUAUUCGCAGGAACACCAGUGGCGAAGGCGGCUCACUGGCCCGAUACUGACGCUGAGGCACGAAAGCGUGGGGAGCAAACAGG